Carica papaya (papaya) is the source of this 2638-nucleotide non-coding RNA. NCBI's taxonomy places the organism in Eukaryota, Viridiplantae, Streptophyta, Magnoliopsida, Brassicales, Caricaceae. The record is from RefSeq and is a predicted model, not a curated record.
CCAUCUUCCCCCAAAACCACAAGUACUAUAUAACGAACGUAACCUAACAUCGUUUCCUUUUCACCUCUUCCUUUCUAGGGUUUCGACUUUCUGGUUGUGAACAAAUUCAGUCUACAACUCUAAUUCAUUUUCAUCACAGUUUCUUUCUUUGGAUCUUAUUACCCUAGCUUCUGUCCGGUUGAGUUUUCUGCGGUGUUGGUGCGGUUAAGGGCUUGGGAUGGGUACGGAGAGGAAGAGGAAGGUCAGCUUGUUUGACGUUGUGGAUGAGACGUCAGUCACCGGGAAGGUCACCAAAUUGAACGGUGGGGCGGCGAUGAACAGCAACAGCGUUGGCGGCAACCUGAGUAGUCUUGUAAACCGGUGGAAUGGGAGGCCAUACUCGCAGAGGUAUUAUGAAAUACUGGAGAAGAGAAAGACUCUCCCUGUUUGGCAGCAGAAAGAGGAGUUCUUCCAGGUUCUUAAGGCCAGCCAGACUAUAAUACUGGUUGGUGAGACUGGUAGUGGUAAAACCACUCAGAUUCCCCAGUUUGUUUUGGAAGCUGUCGAUAUAGAAACCCCAGAUAAACGCAGGAAAUGGAUGGUUGGAUGCACACAACCUCGCAGAGUCGCUGCAAUGUCUGUUUCUCGACGUGUUGCUGAAGAGAUGGAUGUAACUAUUGGGGAAGAGGUUGGUUAUAGCAUACGUUUUGAAGACUGCAGCUGUGCUAGAACUGUUUUGAAGUAUCUGACAGAUGGUAUGCUCUUGCGAGAAGCAAUGACAGAUCCACUUUUGGAACGCUACAAGGUAAUUAUUCUCGAUGAGGCUCAUGAAAGAACUCUAGCUACAGAUGUACUUUUUGGUCUUCUCAAAGAAGUGCUGAAAAAUAGACCCGAUCUGAAGCUAGUUGUAAUGAGUGCAACACUUGAGGCUGAGAAAUUUCAGGGGUAUUUUAAUGGUGCACCUCUUUUGAAGGUGCCUGGUAGACUUCACCCUGUCGAGAUAUUUUACACUUCAGAACCUGAAAGGGACUACCUGGAGUCUGCCAUUCGGACUGUCGUGCAGAUACAUAUGUGUGAGCCUCCUGGGGAUAUUCUUGUUUUCUUAACUGGAGAGGAGGAGAUAGAAGAUGCAUGCCGUAAAAUAACAAAAGAAAUUGGUAAUCUUGGGGAUCAGGUGGGGCCUGUGAAAGUUGUGCCCCUUUAUUCUACUCUUCCUCCAGCUAUGCAACAAAAGAUAUUUGAACCUGCCCCACCUCCAGUAAAGGAAGACAGUCCUCCUGGAAGGAAGAUUGUGGUGUCAACAAACAUUGCGGAAACUUCACUAACCAUAGAUGGAAUAGUGUAUGUUAUUGAUCCUGGGUUUUCUAAGCAAAAAGUUUACAAUCCCCGAGUCCGUGUUGAAUCUUUGUUGGUAUCUCCAAUAUCAAAGGCAAGUGCACACCAGAGAACAGGACGUGCUGGAAGAACUCAACCAGGCAAAUGCUUCAGGCUCUACACAGAGAGGAGUUUCCAUAAUGAUCUUCAGCCACAGACAUACCCUGAAAUAUUGCGAUCAAACCUUGCAAAUACAGUUCUGACCUUGAAGAAACUGGGGAUAGAUGAUUUGGUGCAUUUUGAUUUUAUGGAUCCUCCGGCUCCUGAGACAUUGAUGCGAGCUUUGGAGGUAUUGAAUUACUUGGGAGCAUUGGAUGAUGAUGGGAACCUAACAAAAUUGGGUGAAAUCAUGAGUGAGUUUCCUUUGGAUCCACAAAUGUCAAAGAUGCUCGUCGUCAGUCCUGAAUUCAACUGCUCAAAUGAGAUCCUUUCAAUUUCUGCCAUGUUAUCAGUUUCUCAGUAUUCUCUCAUGAAGCACAUGGUGUCGUCUCGCCUCUAUGCAUCUGCUGACCUUCCGUGGGCCUCUUCUGUGAUAACCCAAUUCUUUCUUUAGUACCCAAUUGCUUUGUCCGGCCUAGGGAGGCUCAAAAAGCUGCGGACGAAGCGAAAGCUAGGUUUGGGCACAUCGAUGGAGAUCACCUUACGCUCUUAAAUGUCUAUCAUGCUUAUAAGCAAAACAAUGAGGACUCAUCUUGGUGUUAUGAGAAUUUUAUCAAUCAUAGGACCAUGAAGGCUGCUGAUAAUGUUAGACAACAGCUGGUACGCAUAAUGGCCAGGUUUAACCUCAAAUUGUGCAGCACUGAUUUCAACAGCCGUGACUACUAUGUCAAUAUAAGGAAGGCCAUGCUAGCUGGCUAUUUCAUGCAGGUGGCUCACCUGGAACGCACUGGACACUACUUGACUGUUAAAGACAAUCAAGUGGUGCACUUGCAUCCUUCAAAUUGCCUGGAUCACAAGCCAGAGUGGGUCAUUUACAAUGAGUAUGUACUGACUAGUCGAAAUUUUAUCCGCACAGUGACAGAUGUUCGUGGUGAAUGGUUAGUUGAUAUAGCACCACACUAUUAUGAUUUGAUUAACUUCCCCCAGUGUGAGGCCAAGCGUGUACUUGAGAAGCUUUACAAGAAGAGGGAGAGGGAGAGAGAGGAAAGCAAGAAUAGAAAGUGAACUAUUGCCAUUAGUAUAUUUUAGCUUUACCCCCCAGAUUUAAAAAGGAUGUUGAAUUUUGGAGAGGCAGGUGAAACAUUCUCCAGCAUACUUUUUUGGUGGAAUCUCCAAGUGGGUAAAA